Long non-coding RNA from Canis lupus familiaris (dog), 1626 nucleotides. RefSeq lists it as uncharacterized. The transcript is spliced from 3 exons. The record is from RefSeq and is a predicted model, not a curated record. NCBI's taxonomy places the organism in Eukaryota, Metazoa, Chordata, Mammalia, Carnivora, Canidae.
AAUUGUUGCCAGCUGACCUAUCUUACAAAAACUGGUAAAAGUUCUUCAGAAAUAAGAUGAAGUAUACAGGUCAGAAACUCAGAUCUAAAGUAAGAAAGGAAGAGUAUCAGAGAAGGAAUAAAUGAGGAUUCACCUCGAUCCCAAUUAAAAUCCCAGCAAGUUAUUUUGUGGAUAUCAACUAAAGUGAAUAUCUAAAGUUCAUAUGGAAAGAGAAAAUUCCCAGCAUAACCAAGACAAUACUGAAGAACAAAGUGGGAUAAUUGACACUAUCCAGCUUGGUGACAUACUGUUAUGCUAUAGUAAUCAAGUCAGUAUGGCAUGGGUGAAAAAAUAGACAAAUAGAUCAGUGGAACAGAAUAGAGGGCCCAGAAAUAGAUCCAUGAAAACAUGGUCAAGUGAUCUUUGACAAAAGACCAAAAGCAACUCGAUGGAGAAAAGACAAUCUUUGCAGUAGAUGGUGCAAGAAUGACCAGACUCCCAAAUGCAAAAAGAAAAAAAUGAAUCUAGACACGGCCUUCAGAUCUUUCACAAAAAUUAACUCAAAAUGAAUCAUAGGCCUAAAUAUAAAAUGCAAAUCCAUAAAAUGUGAAGAUGAUAUAGAAGAAAACCUAGGUCACCCGGAGUUCAGUGAUGACUUUUGACUUGCAACAGCAAAAGCGUGAUCCACGAAGACAAUCUUGAUAAAUUGAACAUAGUUUGAUGCAACAGUACUGGUGCUUCAUGCUUACUUUAAGUGGUGAAUUCGUAGGUCUUAUUUUACUACUAAGUAUCAAAACUUGCAUGCUACUACCUAUCUUUUUAUACAUAAAAUUAUUAUACAAUUUCAAAUUUUUUUAAGGUUGGGCCCCAAGAUGCCCAGUGUAGGGGAUUGACAGAUUCUUUGAUGACAAACUGAUCUUCAGAACACCAAAUGUGAUAUGUCAUUGCCCAUCGUAUUGCGAAUUAAUCCUAGAGGAAUAAUACACAACAGAUUGAAGUCAUCUUUUUUUUUUUUAUUUUUUUACUUGCUGGGCACUGCAAUAAAGGCCUCUGAUAGAGAAACAUCAAGAAUUGGGUAGAACUAUGAGAAAGGCAAAGCUUUACAAUUCAUUUUUUUAAAGCCAAGAAAUAAAUCAGAAACCAAAACCAAAAACAAGACCAAAAACAAAACCACCAACUUAGAAGACAGCAAGGAGAGAGAAAAAUUUAGUUUUACUGUACCAGGACUAUAGAGUGCUGUGCUCAGCCCUUCUCUGAAGUUCUGAUGUGUGCAGAGUCAGGCCCUGAGCCAAAGGCAGAUGCUCAACCACUGAGCCACCCAGGCGUCCCCAGGAAUUGCUCUUGAUAAAAACUGGAGUUCCUCCAGACUACUGUCCAGCUAUGUUCAGUCUCCUUCUCAAAGGCCUUGGGCACAACUUGCUCAUGGAUGGGUUACCAACAGGAUGACUAUUUUCCUUACCAGGGAAAGGAGGUGACAGAAAAGAAAAGGAAAUAGACACCAUCCUCUGGCCUCUUCCUACCCCUAAAAGCUGCUACACCCAAAACUGCUUGCAGGACACUGAAUGAACCUGAGGUGGAAAGCCUCAACUCUCAGAAUUAAGUAUAAUAAUAAAGCUUCUAUUGCUUCAAUUAUCAAAAAUAGAGUGG